UGGCGGCAGCUUACCAUGCAAGUCCAACGGUAACGGGAAGAAGCUUGCUUCUUUGCCGACGAGUGGCGGACGGGUGAGUAAUGCUUGGGAAUCCGGCUUAUGGAGGGGGAUAACGACGGGAAACUGUCGCUAAUACCGGGUAAUAUCUACGGAUUAAAGGGUGGGACUUUCGGGCCACCCGCCAUAAGAUGAGCCCAAGUGGGAUUAGGUAGUUGGUGGGGUAAAGGCCUACCAAGCCUGCGAUCUCUAGCUGGUCUGAGAGGAUGACCAGCCACACCGGGACUGAGACACGGCCCGGACUCCUACGGGAGGCAGCAGUGGGGAAUAUUGCACAAUGGGGGGAACCCUGAUGCAGCCAUGCCGCGUGAACGAAGAAGGCCUUCGGGUUGUAAAGUUCUUUCGGUAGCGAGGAAGGUGUUUUGUUUAAUAGACAAAGCAAUUGACGUUAACUACAGAAGAAGCACCGGCUAACUCACGUGCCAGCAGCCGCGGUAAU
This 496-nucleotide ribosomal RNA is filed under the name uncultured bacterium. RNAcentral describes it as "bacterial SSU rRNA". It matches the Rfam family "Bacterial small subunit ribosomal RNA", at positions 37 to 524 of the family's 1533-position model. The record is from RNAcentral.